AGUGAACGCUGGCGGUAGGCCUAACACAUGCAAGUCGAACGGCAGCACAGUAAGAGCUUGCUCUUACGGGUGGCGAGUGGCGGACGGGUGAGGAAUACAUCGGAAUCUACUUUUUCGUGGGGGAUAACGUAGGGAAACUUACGCUAAUACCGCAUACGACCUACGGGUGAAAGCAGGGGAUCUUCGGACCUUGCGCGAUUGAAUGAGCCGAUGUCGGAUUAGCUAGUUGGCGGGGUAAAGGCCCACCAAGGCGACGAUCCGUAGCUGGUCUGAGAGGAUGAUCAGCCACACUGGAACUGAGAAACGGUCCAGACUCAUACGGGAGGCAGCAGUGGGGAAUAUUGGACAAUGGGCGCAAGCCUGAUCCAGCCAUACCGCGUGGGUGAAGAAGGCCUUCGGGUUGUAAAGCCCUUUUGUUGGGAAAGAAAAGCAGCAGGUUAAUACCCCGCUGUUCUGACGGUACCCAAAGAAUAAGCACCGGCUAACUUCGUG
RNAcentral lists this ribosomal RNA (492 nucleotides) under uncultured bacterium. RNAcentral describes it as "partial 16S ribosomal RNA". It matches the Rfam family "Bacterial small subunit ribosomal RNA", at positions 29 to 507 of the family's 1533-position model. The record is from RNAcentral.